CGUGAACGCUGGCGGUAGGCCUAACACAUGCAAGUCGAGCGGAAGCACAGUAAGAGCUUUCUCUUACGGGUGGCGAGUGGCGGGUGGGUGAGGAGUACAUCGCCAUCUACUUUUUCGUGGGGGAUAACGUGGGGCAACUUCCGCUAAUACCGCAUAUGACGUACGGGUGAAAUCAACAGAUCUUCGGACCUUGCCCGAUUGAAUGAGCCGAUGUCGGAUUAGCUAGUUGGCGGGGUAAAGGCCCACCAAGGCGACGAUCCGUAGCUGGUCUGAGAGGAUGAUCAGCCACACUGGAACUGAGACACGGUCCAGACUCCUACGGGAGGCAGCGGUGGGGAAUAUUGGACAAUGGGCGCAAGCCUGAUGGAGCCAUACCGCGUGGGUGAAGAAGGUCUUCGGGUUGUAAAGCCCUUUUGUUGGGGAAGAAAAGAAGCGGGUGAAUACACCGCUGUUCUGACGGUACCCAAUGAGUAAGCAACGGCUAACUUCGUG
This 492-nucleotide ribosomal RNA is filed under the name uncultured bacterium. RNAcentral's name for it is "partial 16S ribosomal RNA". It matches the Rfam family "Bacterial small subunit ribosomal RNA", at positions 29 to 507 of the family's 1533-position model. The record is from RNAcentral.